Molecule: transfer RNA, 76 nt
Filed under: Cryobacterium psychrotolerans
Lineage: Bacteria; Bacillati; Actinomycetota; Actinomycetes; Micrococcales; Microbacteriaceae
Also listed under: 7 other names
Description: tRNA-Lys
Rfam family: tRNA
About the family: Transfer RNA (tRNA) molecules are approximately 80 nucleotides in length. Their secondary structure includes four short double-helical elements and three loops (D, anti-codon, and T loops).
Source: RNAcentral
GGGCCUCUAGCUCAGUUGGUAGAGCAAAGGACUUUUAAUCCUUGGGUCGUCGGUUCGAGCCCGACGGGGCCCACCC